GUGGGGAAUAUUCCGCAAUGGACGAAAGUCUGACGGAGCAACGCCGCGUGAGUGAUGAAGGUUUUCGGACUGUAAAGCUCUGUUGUUUAGGACGAAAGUGCCUGUUGCGAAUAGUUACAGGUAUUGACGGUACUGAACGAGGAAGCCACGGCUAACUACGUGCCAGCAGCCGCGGUAAUACGUAGGUGGCAAGCGUUGUCCGGAAUUAUUGGGCGUAAAGAGCAUGUAGGCGGGAAUCUACGUCUGUUGUGAAAAUGCGGGGCUCAACCCCGUAUUGCGAUGGAAACUGGGUUUCUUGAGUGCAGGAGAGGAAAGGGGAAUUCCCAGUGUAGCGGUGAAAGGCGUAGAUAUUGGGAGGAACACCAGUGGCGAAGGCGCCUUUCUGGACUGUGUCUGACGCUGAGAUGCGAAAGCCAGGGUAGCGAACGGGAUUAGAUACCCCGGUAGUCC
This 450-nucleotide ribosomal RNA is filed under the name uncultured bacterium. Its description in RNAcentral is "partial 16S ribosomal RNA". It matches the Rfam family "Bacterial small subunit ribosomal RNA", at positions 354 to 796 of the family's 1533-position model. The record is from RNAcentral.